GACGAACGCUGGCGGCGUGCUUAACACAUGCAAGUCGAACGGAAAGGCCCUGCUUUUGUGGGGUGCUCGAGUGGCGAACGGGUGAGUAACACGUGAGUAACCUGCCCUUGACUUUGGGAUAACUUCAGGAAACUGGGGCUAAUACCGGAUAGGAGCUCCUGCUGCAUGGUGGGGGUUGGAAAGUUUCGGCGGUUGGGGAUGGACUCGCGGCUUAUCAGCUUGUUGGUGGGGUAGUGGCUUACCAAGGCUUUGACGGGUAGCCGGCCUGAGAGGGUGACCGGCCACAUUGGGACUGAGAUACGGCCCAGACUCCUACGGGAGGCAGCAGUGGGGAAUAUUGCACAAUGGGCGGAAGCCUGAUGCAGCAACGCCGCGUGCGGGAUGACGGCCUUCGGGUUGUAAACCGCUUCCGCCUGUGACGAAGCGUGAGUGACGGUAAUGGGUAAAGAAGCACCGGCUAACUACGUGCCAGCAGCCGCGGUGAUACGUAGGGUGCGAGCGUUGUCCGGAUUUAUUGGGCGUAAAGGGCUCGUAGGUGGUUGAUCGCGUCGGAAGUGUAAUCUUGGGGCUUAACCCUGAGCGUGCUUUCGAUACGGGUUGACUUGAGGAAGGUAGGGGAGAAUGGAAUUCCUGGUGGAGCGGUGGAAUGCGCAGAUAUCAGGAGGAACACCAGUGGCGAAGGCGGUUCUCUGGGCCUUUCCUGACGCUGAGGAGCGAAAGCGUGGGGAGCGAACAGGCUUAGAUACCCUGGUAGCCCACGCUGUAAACGGUGGGUACUAGGUGUGGGGUCCAUUCCACGGGUUCCGUGCCGUAGCUAACGCUUUAAGUACCCCGCCUGGGGAGUACGGCCGCAAGGCUAAAACUCAAAGGAAUUGACGGGGCCCCGCACAAGCGGCGGAGCAUGCGGAUUAAUUCGAUGCAACGCGUAGAACCUUACCUGGGUCUGACAUGGAUCGGGAGUGCUCAGAGAUGGGUGUGCCUCUUUUGGGGUCGGUUCACAGGUGGUGCAUGGCUGUCGUCAGCUCGUGUCGUGAGAUGUUGGGUUAAGUCCCGCAACGAGCGCAACCCUUGUUCACUGUUGCCAGCACGUUAUGGUGGGGACUCAGUGGAGACCGCCGGGGUCAACUCGGAGGAAGGUGGGGAUGACGUCAAGUCAUCAUGCCCCUCAUGUCCAGGGCUUCACGCAUGCUACAAUGGCUGGUACAGAGAGUGGCGAGCCUGUGAGGGUGAGCGAAUCUCGGAAAGCCGGUCUCAGUUCGGAUUGGGGUCUGCAACUCGACCUCAUGAAGUCGGAGUCGCUAGUAAUCGCAGAUCAGCAACGCUGCGGUGAAUACGUUCCCGGGGCU
This 1346-nucleotide ribosomal RNA is filed under the name uncultured bacterium. RNAcentral's name for it is "partial 16S ribosomal RNA". It matches the Rfam family "Bacterial small subunit ribosomal RNA", at positions 28 to 1381 of the family's 1533-position model. The record is from RNAcentral.